RNAcentral lists this ribosomal RNA (253 nucleotides) under Dokdonella sp. Its description in RNAcentral is "partial 16S ribosomal RNA". It matches the Rfam family "Bacterial small subunit ribosomal RNA", at positions 524 to 776 of the family's 1533-position model. Lineage: Bacteria; Pseudomonadati; Pseudomonadota; Gammaproteobacteria; Lysobacterales; Rhodanobacteraceae. RNAcentral also lists the same sequence under 1 other name. The record is from RNAcentral.
UACGAAGGGUGCAAGCGUUACUCGGAAUUACUGGGCGUAAAGCGUGCGUAGGCGGUCUGUUAAGUCCGUUGUGAAAGCCCUGGGCUCAACCUGGGAAUUGCAGUGGAUACUGGCGGGCUAGAGUGCGGUAGAGGAUGGUGGAAUUCCCGGUGUAGCGGUGAAAUGCGUAGAGAUCGGGAGGAACACCCGUGGCGAAGGCGGCCAUCUGGACCAGCACUGACGCUGAGGCACGAAAGCGUGGGGAGCAAACAGG